CUAUUAUGGGAACUGAGAGGUAAUAUAUCUUUAUGAUCUUUUAAUAGUACAUGUAUCAGUGUCCAAAUGUUUCUGUAUCAGCUGCAGAGUCCUUGUGUGAAAUGGUCACAGUGGAGGCUGGAACCUAGAAGGGAGGAAGGUGCCUUCCUGACACUAUAACCUUGCAGUGUCACUGCUGUGCCCUCUGUUGAAAAAGCCUGUGCUCCAAAGGAAAAAGGUCCACAGGGUCCAGUUCAGUGUCACAAAGCUGGGCAGAGAAGGGUGGAUUUGGAGCUGACAGUAAGUUGUCACAUGUAACCAGCGCCAUUCUCUGUGACCCAUCCUAGUCAGUCUGACACCCCCACUCCACCUCCAGCAAAAGGAAACAAUCUUAGCCUCUUUUCAGUUAAUAACUUGGAAAGUAUUUGACAGUCAUUUAACCCUGAUAUUUUUGAUUCACAGAAAGGGCCAUAAUGAUUUAAUGCAAUGCAUACAGGAUGAUAAAUGGGUCAUUUUCAUAUAUUCUGAUUGGGCUGUAAAUUUAUAUGGAGGGCAAUUAGAUAAUAUCUGUUAAAACUAUUAGUGCCUGAACCCUUUGCAUCAGCAGUUCUAAUGUCAGGAAUUUACCUUAUAUAUUUGCUCUUGAGUACAGCAACAUGUCUAUAAAAUUACUUGUAGCAGUGUCUGUAAAAAGAAAUUGGAAUCAACCUAAAUGUCUGUCAGUAGGGAAUUGGCUAAAUAAAUAUGGUACCUUCAUAAUGGAAUAAUAUUCAGCUAUAAACAAUGAAAGCUGUUUACAUACUGAUAUAAAAACAUUUUUCAUGUAUAUUGUUAAAAGGAAGAAAUAAAGAUGUAGUCUGUGUACCACAAAUGGAAAAUGGGGGUUGGGGAGUUAUCUAACUAUUUGUUUAUGCCUUUUAAAAAUCUCUGGAAAGAUACAUAAGAAAACUGUAGUUACCUAUAGGAGGUUUGGGAACUGGGAGGAUAGAGGUUGGGUGGGGGGAGACUCUUGACUGUUGCCUUUUAUACUUUUUUCUUUAACUAUGUAGAUACAUUAUUUUUAAAGUAAUUACAAAUUAAAAUUUUCCCACUGAGGACAGAACUGAAAAUCAAAUAGGAAUUUUUAUUUUUUUAAGAUGAUAACAUUGGAACUGUGUAUGACAAUAAUUUCUCCUUUCUAAAGACCGAUGUGACUUUUUAAAAAUAACUUUGCAUCUCCCUCAAUCAUAUCUUCUAGCAGGUAUUCAAUAAAUGCUUAUUGAACUGAA
This is a long non-coding RNA of Phyllostomus discolor (pale spear-nosed bat), 1247 nucleotides long. RefSeq lists it as uncharacterized. The record is from RefSeq and is a predicted model, not a curated record. The transcript has 2 exons. Lineage: Eukaryota; Metazoa; Chordata; Mammalia; Chiroptera; Phyllostomidae.